Ochotona curzoniae (black-lipped pika) is the source of this 173-nucleotide long non-coding RNA. RefSeq lists it as uncharacterized. NCBI's taxonomy places the organism in Eukaryota, Metazoa, Chordata, Mammalia, Lagomorpha, Ochotonidae. The record is from RefSeq and is a predicted model, not a curated record. The transcript has 2 exons.
AGGCGCGUGCGGAGCGCGGAAUCCACUUGUCCGGGUUUUGGCAAGGGAGGACGCGCAGAUUCCACAGGAGGAAAAUGUGCAGAGACUGAAGAAAGAGGACAUACUCAGGAUGACACAAAGUGCCACUUCCGGAACUUCUUGAUGGAGGAGUAACCACAGAUGGCUGCGGAUGU